GAUAUUAUUGUGAGCGGAUAAGAGGAAUCGAGGCCGAUCCUGCUAAAAAAAAAAAAGAAGAAAAAAAAAGGGAAAAAAAGAAAAGAAAAAAGCAAUACGAAAAAUGCCUGAACCGAGAAUAGACAAGAAGGUUCGUGGUUCCUUAGAUAGAUUGAACUGCAUCUCACAGGUCAUAUUUCAUCUACCAGCCACAUAUGAACCCAUAUAAAAAAAAGAGAUCAAACGGUCAGGUGAAAUAACGAUUGC
This 246-nucleotide long non-coding RNA is filed under the name Lathyrus oleraceus (garden pea). RNAcentral describes it as "Pisum sativum (pea) long non-coding RNA (PSAT_LNC011343)". Lineage: Eukaryota; Viridiplantae; Streptophyta; Magnoliopsida; Fabales; Fabaceae. The record is from RNAcentral.